UCAUAUUCCUACAUUAACAGCAGAAGUGUUUCCAUGAAAUAUCUGGAGAUCUAAUUCCACAAUCCAGGGAUCUUACUAAGCAUAUUUCUCUACACAGUGAUAAGCUGUCACUCUUUGCAAACUCUGUAAAAAUCACAACUGACUUGCUUUGUAGAUAAUUUUUAUGUUAUCACUGGGAUUUCUUUUUAAAUGGUAAAAUUCAGAUAAUCUAAGAUUAACUUUCUUUAAAGGGAAUUGUUGGUGGUGUGGGUCCUCCUGGAUUUCCAGGACUAAGAGGAGACAUUGGGCCAGCAGGACCAAGUGGACCAUCAGGAAUUCCAGGGCCCACGGUAUGGUAUAAAAUGAUCCCGCAGCCCCAUGCCUAUGCUGCUUUCCAAAUUAUAGUCAAACACUGGAUUUAUGUUUUCUUUAAUUUAACAGGGUUUUCUAGGGAGUGUGGGACAGCCUGGAAUGAAAGGUGAUAAGGGUGAACAUGGCCUUGCGGGAGAGCCAGGAGAUCAGGGAUACCCAGGAGACAAGGGUGCUCCUGGUUUACCAGGACCCCCAGGGAUCAGAGGAAAACCAGGACCUCCAGUAAGUUUACGCAUUGAAUUUUGCUCUUGAUAUAUCGCUGUAUGUUGUUGAUACUUGAUAUUUU
Molecule: long non-coding RNA, 637 nt
Filed under: Corvus moneduloides (New Caledonian crow)
Lineage: Eukaryota; Metazoa; Chordata; Aves; Passeriformes; Corvidae
Description: lncRNA (ENSCMUG00000019022.1)
Source: RNAcentral